GAAAUUUAGCUCUUGAUGGAGAUGUUUUGAAGAAGGCUAAUAGCUGUUUUUGUGCGUGAAAUUAAGGCAUGCUUUAGUAUUAGAGUGGGAAAUAGUAGACUUGAUUAUUAGUACUGUAGAGGAAAAGCUUUAUUUUGUGAGAAGAGAUAUUUGAUUUAUGUACCUUUUGCAUAAGGGGGGUUUUAAAUAUGCUUUAUGGUAAUUUUCCCGAAGCAAUUAGAUGGGCUAUUUUAAUAAGGGCUUACUGUUGCAUAAGUGGGUUGAAUGUUAAUUUAGUGAUGAUAUAUUAUUCAAAUAUUGAGAUAUCUGGUUCUUUCUUAGAGAAGUUUAGCUUAAUAAGCUUGAGAUUAAGUUUGGGAGGUCUUGUUGGGAUUAGCUGACGGGGCGAGCCAUAUAUGUGGUUAUACUGGUCUUAAAUUAGGCUUAAAAGUGGUCUAGGGGUUUAAAGGGUGUUAAAACCAAGAGGCGCACUUAGAUUUAUUUUGUGUUUAUUGGUUCGAUGAGGAAAGAGGGUUUAAAAGUUAAAAGUAAGUCGAUAUAAUGGGCGUAUUAGUAGCUGGUUUAAGGUGGCUAAAAUUGGUCUUGAAAUUAAUAUGAUUUAUAUCGUAGAAGUAGGUUAUUCAAAGGAACUCGGCAUAAUUUUAGGCUUUGCCUGUUUAUCAAAUACAUGGUUUUUUGUGGUUAUAUAAAAAAUCUGACCUGCUCGCUGACGUAGUGUUAAAGGGCUGCAGUAUAUUGACUGUACAAAGGUAGCAUAAUCAUUAGUCUUUUAAUUGGGGACUGGAAUGAAAGGUUGGACGGAGUCAGACUGUCUCUGGAAAAUUGAUGUGAAGUUUUCUUCUCUGUGAAAAUACAGAGAUGAGUUAAAGGGACGAGAAGACCCUAUUAAGCUUUAUAUUGAGUCUGGAUUUGAUGAGGGGAAUUAAUUUGGCUUUUGGCUUAGUGUUUUGCUGGGGCGGCAAGAGUUUGUAGCAAUUAUAAAAUGUAAUGAUGGCGAUUGGCGUUGUGGAGAUUGAUCCGUAUUUUUACVBNUK
Molecule: ribosomal RNA, 1034 nt
Filed under: Anadenobolus excisus
Lineage: Eukaryota; Metazoa; Arthropoda; Diplopoda; Spirobolida; Rhinocricidae
Description: partial 16S ribosomal RNA
Rfam family: Bacterial large subunit ribosomal RNA (bases 617-822)
Source: RNAcentral